This 63-nucleotide transfer RNA is filed under the name Notopteryx soror. Its description in RNAcentral is "tRNA-His". Lineage: Eukaryota; Metazoa; Arthropoda; Insecta; Hemiptera; Coreidae. The record is from RNAcentral.
AUCUGGAUAGUUUAAUUUAGAAUAAUAAUUUGUGAUGUUAUAGGUGUUUAUUUACUCUGGAUC